ACAGGGAACAGGUCGUAUUGAAAUUGUGUCCCAGAUAGUACAAGCUCUAGACAAGUAGUUGUAUCCCUUCCAUGAAGACUUCUAGAAGACCCACCAUUCUUUUCAUGUGUAUGCCAAUCAGAACCAGCAAACAUUCUCCAGCUUACAUUAAUGUUCUUAAGAAGUACACACCCCAUGGGCUUUCCAAAAUUAUCAGCUCUUAUACGGUCAGAAGAUGAAAGCUUGUCUUCCAAAACCUUAUUCAAGCUGGCUUCUUCACUUUCUUCAGAAAUGUGAUUUUCAAUAAUGCUUAAAGAAGUAUCCUUAUACCAUCC
Molecule: unclassified non-coding RNA, 314 nt
Filed under: Hevea brasiliensis (rubber tree)
Lineage: Eukaryota; Viridiplantae; Streptophyta; Magnoliopsida; Malpighiales; Euphorbiaceae
Source: RNAcentral